GAGGCUUUAGCUUAAUUAAAGURUCUGAGUUGCAGUCAGGUGAUGCCGAUUAAAGUUCUGCAGGUCUUC
RNAcentral lists this transfer RNA (69 nucleotides) under Cnemaspis temiah. RNAcentral describes it as "tRNA-Ala". It matches the Rfam family "tRNA". From Rfam's summary of the family: Transfer RNA (tRNA) molecules are approximately 80 nucleotides in length. Their secondary structure includes four short double-helical elements and three loops (D, anti-codon, and T loops). Lineage: Eukaryota; Metazoa; Chordata; Lepidosauria; Squamata; Gekkonidae. The record is from RNAcentral.